AUUGAACGCUGGCGGCAGGCCUAACACAUGCAAGUCGAGCGGAUGAAGGGAGCUUGCUCCUGGAUUCAGCGGCGGACGGGUGAGUAAUGCCUAGGAAUCUGCCUGGUAGUGGGGGAUAACGUCCGGAAACGGGCGCUAAUACCGCAUACGUCCUGAGGGAGAAAGUGGGGGAUCUUCGGACCUCACGCUAUCAGAUGAGCCUAGGUCGGAUUAGCUAGUUGGUGGGGUAAAGGCCUACCAAGGCGACGAUCCGUAACUGGUCUGAGAGGAUGAUCAGUCAGACGGGGAAUGAGACACGGGCGAGACAAAUACGGGAGGCAGCAGUGGGGAAUAUGGGGCGAUGGGCGAAAGCCGUACGGAGCAAUGACGCGUGAGGGAGGAAGGUGUUCGGAUCGUGAAGCUCUGUUAUUAGGGAAGAAGGAAAGUGGACGGAGAGAUGGACGGCGGGACGGGACCUAAUCAGAAAGCAACGGCGAACUACGUG
RNAcentral lists this ribosomal RNA (484 nucleotides) under uncultured bacterium. RNAcentral describes it as "partial 16S ribosomal RNA". It matches the Rfam family "Bacterial small subunit ribosomal RNA", at positions 29 to 507 of the family's 1533-position model. The record is from RNAcentral.